AUUGAACGCUAGCGGGAUGCUUUACACAUGCAAGUCGAACGGCAGCGCGGACUUCGGUCUGGCGGCGAGUGGCGAACGGGUGAGUAAUGUAUCGGAACGUGCCCAGUAGCGGGGGAUAACUACGCGAAAGCGUAGCUAAUACCGCAUACGCCCUACGGGGGAAAGCAGGGGAUCGUAAGACCUUGCACUAUUGGAGCGGCCGAUAUCGGAUUAGCUAGUUGGUGAGGUAACGGCUCACCAAGGCGACGAUCCGUAGCUGGUUUGAGAGGACGACCAGCCACACUGGGACUGAGACACGGCCAAGACUCCUACGGGAGGCAGCAGUGGGGAAUUUUGGACAAUGGGGGCAACCCUGAUCCAGCCAUCCCGCGUGUGAGAUGAAGGCCUUCGGGUUGUAAAGCACUUUUGGCAGGAAAGAAACGUAGCGGGCUAAUACCCCGUGGAACUGACGGUACCUGCAGAAUAAGCACCGGCUAACUACGUG
RNAcentral lists this ribosomal RNA (484 nucleotides) under uncultured bacterium. RNAcentral describes it as "partial 16S ribosomal RNA". It matches the Rfam family "Bacterial small subunit ribosomal RNA", at positions 30 to 507 of the family's 1533-position model. The record is from RNAcentral.